Long non-coding RNA from Mercenaria mercenaria, 584 nucleotides. RefSeq lists it as uncharacterized. The transcript is spliced from 3 exons. Lineage: Eukaryota; Metazoa; Mollusca; Bivalvia; Venerida; Veneridae. The record is from RefSeq and is a predicted model, not a curated record.
CACGCACGAGACACUUUUCCCGCAGAUCCUGACCGAGAUCAAUUGUCACUUUAUAAAGGAAUGUCUCCAUGUGGUUUGCAUAUUAGACACUGAAAGGUAUUCGGAUUGUGAUAAAAUUGACAUUAUGGGUACAUUCUGUGAAGUGGGUGUAGUGUUUAACUUGGAAGAAGAGGAGCUGGAUGCAAGGCUUGACCACAAGGCAGACGCACAUCCGGUCCUGGACGGGUCGGACUUUAUUUUCAAUGACAAAAGCCAGGGUAUUGAGAUUCGUAGACUUGACAAGGAAUACAGACGUCGUUCUCGUGUCUCGUGCAAUAUCUCUGAUAAUGAAGAAAUCCGGUAAUAAUCGCAAAAAGCAGCGAUACUGAUCCGCUAUAAUAGGUCAUAUUCCACAAGGGAAAAGCAGGAAAAAACAUCAAAUUAAAACGUCGUUCUUUAUUUUAAAGAGUGCUAUAUGACAACUGAUAUGAUAGCUCUAUACGAAUAAACAUACCUAUAAUGGGUUUUGUAUAAAAAUAAUACUGUAACAAUGCGUGUUUAUUCAAUGAUAUCUGUGUCCUUAUUUAAGGACACAUUAUGUUGGA